RNAcentral lists this ribosomal RNA (674 nucleotides) under uncultured Actinomycetales bacterium. RNAcentral describes it as "bacterial SSU rRNA". It matches the Rfam family "Bacterial small subunit ribosomal RNA", at positions 91 to 779 of the family's 1533-position model. The record is from RNAcentral. Lineage: Bacteria; Bacillati; Actinomycetota; Actinomycetes; Actinomycetales.
UCGAGUGGCGAACGGGUGAGUAACACGUGGGUGAUCUGCCCUGCACUUCGGGAUAAGCUUGGGAAACUGGGUCUAAUACCGGAUAGGACCGCACUUUAGUGUGUGUGGUGGAAAGUUUUUUCGGUGUAGGAUGAGCUCGCGGCCUAUCAGCUUGUUGGUGGGGUAAUGGCCUACCAAGGCGGCGACGGGUAGCCGGCCUGAGAGGGUGUACGGCCACAUUGGGACUGAGAUACGGCCCAGACUCCUACGGGAGGCAGCAGUGGGGAAUAUUGCACAAUGGGCGCAAGCCUGAUGCAGCGACGCUGCGUGGGGGAUGAAGGCCUUCGGGUUGUAAACUCCUUUCGCUAGGGACGAAGCUUUUUGUGACGGUACCUAGAUAAGAAGCACCGGCUAACUACGUGCCAGCAGCCGCGGUAAUACGUAGGGUGCGAGCGUUGUCCGGAAUUACUGGGCGUAAAGGGCUCGUAGGUGGUUUGUCGCGUCGUCUGUGAAAUUCUGGGGCUUAACUCCGGGCGUGCAGGCGAUACGGGCAUAACUUGAGUGCUGUAGGGGUAACUGGAAUUCCUGGUGUAGCGGUGAAAUGCGCAGAUAUCAGGAGGAACACCGAUGGCGAAGGCAGGUUACUGGGCAGUUACUGACGCUGAGGAGCGAAAGCAUGGGUAGCGAACAGGAUU